AUACGUAGGGGGCGAGCGUUUUCCGGAUUUAUUGGGCGUAAAGCGUGUGUAGGCGGUUUGUUAAGUUUAAGAUUAAAGCCCGAGGCUUAACCUCGGUUCGUCUUAAAAACUGGCAGACUUGAGUGCAGUAGAGGCAAGUGGAAUUUCUAGUGUAGCGGUUAAAUGCGUAGAUAUUAGAAGGAACACCAGUGGCGAAGGCGGCUUGCUGGGCUGUUACUGACGCUGAGACACGAAAGCGUGGGGAGCAAAUAGGAUUAGAUACCCUAGUAGUCCACGCCGUAAACGAUGAGUACUAAGUGUCGGGUAACCGGUGCUGAAGUUAACACAUUAAGUACUCCGCCUGAGUAGUACGGUCGCAAGGCUGAAACUUAAAGGAAUUGACGGGG
This 386-nucleotide ribosomal RNA is filed under the name uncultured bacterium. RNAcentral describes it as "partial 16S ribosomal RNA". It matches the Rfam family "Bacterial small subunit ribosomal RNA", at positions 523 to 918 of the family's 1533-position model. The record is from RNAcentral.